CACUUUUAUUCUGUUACGUUAACAGAAGAAGAAGCCGAGGCCGGAUUGAUAUGUAAAGUGCAGUCAUCUGCUAAGAACAAAUUCAAGUUACUUUACUUUGAUCAAGAAGAGAAUGGAGGACUGAGAUUGGCCCUACAGGAAGACAGCAGGAAAACAGGAAAGCUCUCAACUGCAGGGUUAUACUUUUUCGGUUUUCCUGUUUACCGUUUCGAUCACAGGGUUAAUUCAGUUAACUAUCUUCUCUUCCCUCUUAAGUUCACACUUUUAUA
Camelina sativa (false flax) is the source of this 269-nucleotide non-coding RNA. Lineage: Eukaryota; Viridiplantae; Streptophyta; Magnoliopsida; Brassicales; Brassicaceae. The record is from RefSeq and is a predicted model, not a curated record.